UGGCUGUGUCUGAUGUAGCUUCAUGGAUAAAUUGAAUUUUGCUGGAGCAAUCCUUCUUAUUUCACACAAAUACCACGUAGUGAAUGGCUGUAAAUCAUGGUGAGGUUACUGUAGCUGAAAGUGCUUUGUACCAAAACUGCAGAUUACUGUAGGUCAACCCAUCAGAAAAUUCCUCUUCAGAUUUAGAACACAACCACUAAUUUUGCCUCUCCAGCCUAUUUUAAAAAUAGGAAAACAACAGCCUCUUUUAAAAAUAGGAAAACAAACACUUUACUAAAAACAUCAUCUUUUUUUUUUUUUUUCUUUCUUUUCCUAUUUUAUUUUGCAGGCUGGCUAAGCCCUGACUCAGCAAGGCAUUUCUCCUUUCUGCAUAUCUUAUGCCUCAUGUACCACAUCCCACCUUUAUUUUGAUUCUCUAAUUCCUUCAAGUUUUUGGCUCCUGGGUGGGGUCCAGCUAAUGGAAACUUAGUCCCCAUGGAAAGCUGAGUGGGCAGAAUUAAAAAAAAAAAAAAAAAAAGUAGAAAAUAAGAAAAGCUUGAAUGAAAAUUAGCCAAAUGACAAUGGGAAACACCUGAAAUUCUUCUUCUGCAGAAGACAGAGCUGUGAAGUAGAGGGCAGUGUGAUAACAUCAGGCUCGCUGGCAGAUGAUGCUGCUGGGAGAAAAAAGAGGACAAGUUUUGGUGUACAUCCAGGUGAGGGCAUUGCAUCCUCCUGGGUCUGAAGGUGAAUGUGAACAUAAGGUCUUUGCAGUGCCUUUUUGCAGUGCUUGAAGUCAGUUCAGAGGCUUCGGUCAGGGAUAAAGUGGCCACCGAGACAUUUUGGAUGUAAAUGAGGUGGUGAUCUCUAACCUUCAGAGCUGUGAGGUCCAGACAAUGGAUUCUUGUAAGCAAGGUGAGGGCACCAGCCCAAAGGAACCAUAAAAAUGGAUCUUAACCUGUUUUAA
RNAcentral lists this long non-coding RNA (943 nucleotides) under Anas platyrhynchos platyrhynchos (common mallard). RNAcentral describes it as "lncRNA (ENSAPLG00000030232.1)". Lineage: Eukaryota; Metazoa; Chordata; Aves; Anseriformes; Anatidae. The record is from RNAcentral.